AUCUACCGCCUUUUUUCCUUUCAGAAAUCCCCCAAAUCGUAACGGCAUGUUGCCUUCUCCUCAUCAACCAGAGGACGGCACAAUCUCUGAUCUGGAUGCCCCAAGCGCCACGAGAAACGCCAUGGUUCCAGUGCGUACCUCUUUUUCUUAUUACCGGAGGUCAUACAGUGAGAUGCGGAUGCGGUACUCAGAUCUACAUCCUUUCAGCGAGACUGAGGAGUAUUCAUUGAAGUAAUUGGAGAUUGCUGCAUCACGGAUGUGGAUCAAGUUAUAAGUUUUGGAGAGUAAGUCUGUAAGACGAAGCAACUAGGCAAUGUUUCAAUGGGCAAAGACUUGAAGAUGGGCAUAUCUAGACAUUUGGAUUUACAACUUGAGCAUCCAGUUAAGGUUCCAACUGCUCUUGUGGGUACAAAUCAAAGUAUUUUUUCUGACGUUGACUCUAAUAAAUUUAGUGAGGCAAGGAAUAAUUGACAGGGUGAUAGCUCAUCCAGAAAUUUGGAGAAAACUGCUGAUCAGAUACAUGUAAUCCCCAAGAUCACUUGGCUUUUAUGGACAGCAGAGAGUUGAAGAUCCAAAUGGACCCUUAAAGAUAUCAGAUAUCAAUAAUGAAACUGUUAAUGAUGCAAAAGAACCACCAUUGCUUGAUCUUACUUUCAAGAGGAUUACAAAAGUUGAACACACAACAAACACAGUUCAGGAUGACGGCAAUCUCUUGUGACAGUUGGGCCUUUCAGCCUUCUCAAGGUAUGAGGAGGCUUAGGAUCCAGAAAAUAUUUUUGCUGUUUAUGAUGGAAUCUUGAACAGAUUCUUCCAUUUGUUGUUCGCUGCUAUUCAGUUACAGUGUAGCCUCAAAUGCUAAUAAGUCCCAUUGCAGGAACGUGGAAGGCGGUUCUCCAUGUGAUAAUAGCUCAAAGUAGAAAGGAAUUGACAUGUAAUUUUCAAUCUCAUUCAAGUGCCAAAUCUCCCAAUCAGUGCUCAUAUGGGGGAACCAGUAGUUUUGAUCUGGGCUCUGCAACUGAAAAAAAAAUAUUCUUAGUUCUCCAAUGGUUUGAUUAGCAAGGGCUUAAGCUUUUUACUUUUCCUCUGUUUUAAUUUUUGGACAGUUAUCUUGUUAUAGGUGCUAAUGUUGGCUGCUGUUUUCCUGUCUAUUAUUUCCUAUGAUCUUCUUUUCUGUGCUAAUGGUGACCUCCCCAACACCAUGAAAAAAUGAAGGGGAAAAGGAAGAAGAAAAAGAAGUGGCAUUAACAUCAGUGGUCAAAUGUUCACAUCCAUGCCCUGCUUUCUGACCUAUGAAAGUUGAUCUUUUAUGUUACCACAGUUUGUUGGAUUAGAUAAGAGGCUAAUGAGAUGGCAGUCAAAACUCAUUCUGGCUGAACAAGAGGGACGUGCUUGGAUCUCCAUAUUUGGCCUCUUAACCAUCAACACUAACCUGUCUAAAACAUAAAACACCGGUUGCCACUAAGCCAUGAGGUGUUGUGAUUGAAAAAAAUGACAGCAGCUGCUCCAAAAUGUGGCUCUUCCAACUGUCUGGGCUUGCCUGCUGAAGGUAACACAGGAAGUAAUGGGUUGGAAGCAUGUCAAAUAGUAAAAGUGGAGGCAAUGGCCUGAACAUGAGCAGCACAAUGUUGAAGGCUAUGGGGAUAAACAUAGGAGGUGAUAAUGUGAUAGCUGGGAAAAAUGGAAGUGUUGAUGCUAGUGAGAAGGAAUGGAAGCAAUGGAAACAAAAUAGAUCUCAGAGAGAAGCAGCUUUGGUCAAAUUUCAUUAAGAGAGAAAGGAGAGAUGUAUGAUGCUUCAAAAAUAAGGUACUCUGAACAAAUACAGUUGUCCCCUUGAACUAGUUUGGAGGUUACCUUCUUAUGGAUAUUCAAAAGCCCAAAAUCUCGCCUUCCAGAUCAGCUAGUGAUCAAGAUUCUUCAAUCUAUCUUCAUGAAAUUUUCUCUUAUCAUAGAUACAGUUUAAAUUUUCUCUUAUCAUAUUGGCUGGCAAGUAUUAUUUUCAUUAAAUCUUAUAUUUGGCACAUACUGUGUAACACAACUUGCUGUUUCUUACAUUGGCAAGGACAUACAAUAUGAUGCAACAGAACAGAACAGAUAGUAUACAUAUGUGAAGAUGCUCAAAAAUCUUCAUGGAUAACUGAAAAUUUCUUAUUCCUUAUUUUCUGGAUACAGAGUGGGUUUUUUCAAAGGGGGAGGACUCUCUUUCUCUUAGUUACCCGUGAUUUCUUUUUACAGGCAUUUUUCUGUAUAGGUGCUGGCAUUCUUGUGAAGGGGUUGGCUUUUCUGCAAGCUGCCACAUGCUUUGUUGACUAUUGGGAAUAUGGGGACAAGAGUAGUUGUGCUCAUCUUUUUAGGCGCAGGUCCGUCGGUCAGGUCAAUGGUCAACCUGCAAGUUUGGAGGUCAUUUUUUUUUCAUGGUCCUUAUUUUAGGGUGAGGUGAAUUUGUGCACCCUCAGGUUUUGAGAUAGACCAUUCUCCUGGUGGUUUUAUUUUUGGUAGCUCCAAUAUGUAUGUCUAUAUAAUCAAUAUAUAUGUAUCACAUAUGCCCCCAAUGUUUUCCAAGUGGAACAGACUUCGAUAUUUUUUUUUGUGUUCAGCUAUCAAAACAGCUGUUUUGUUGCUAUUGAACAAAAGAUAAGCUUGCUUGUCAAGUGUUUAGAGACUUGGACAAAAGAUAAAUGAGGGUGUAAGGUAGGGGAGGAUUUAUGUAUAUGGGGACAGCUUCCUCCUGGGAUAAAAAACAAGAAAAAGUGAGUUGGUUGUUUCAUCUUUUCUUCAGAUGCAAUACUCUGGAUUACAUAUCAUUGUUGAAAAUUUGGAUAGAACCAACUGUUUGUUUUGAUUUUUAGGUUUGAUGUCAGACCAGGGAGAUGAUGGUCAGAAAAUUUGUGUGGAAGAUGUUCAUAACAAUGCAAGCAGGAGCACGAUGGAUUCUUUUGAAAUGCUACAACUGCCCCUACUUUUAAAGGUAUGGCAUGAUCUGCAUUGGGCUGCUUACUGCCAUUGACUGAUAAAGAGCUGCCAUAAUCCUUGCCCUCACCAGC
This is a long non-coding RNA of Vitis vinifera (wine grape), 3041 nucleotides long. RefSeq lists it as uncharacterized. The transcript is spliced from 5 exons. NCBI's taxonomy places the organism in Eukaryota, Viridiplantae, Streptophyta, Magnoliopsida, Vitales, Vitaceae. The record is from RefSeq and is a predicted model, not a curated record.